UACGUAGGAGGCGAGCGUUGUCCGGAAUUACUGGGUGUAAAGCGCGUGUAGGCGGCCUGCCAAGUCUGCUGUGAAAGCGCCUGGCUUAACCGGGCGAGGUCGGUGGAAACUGGCGGGCUGGAGGCCGGUAGAGGGGGGUGGAAUUCCCGGUGUAGUGGUGAAAUGCGUAGAGAUCGGGAGGAACACCAGUGGCGAAGGCGGCCCCCUGGGCCGCGCCUGACGCUGAGACGCGAAAGCGCGGGGAGCGAACGGG
This 253-nucleotide ribosomal RNA is filed under the name uncultured bacterium. RNAcentral describes it as "partial 16S ribosomal RNA". It matches the Rfam family "Bacterial small subunit ribosomal RNA", at positions 524 to 776 of the family's 1533-position model. The record is from RNAcentral.